AGUGAACGCUGGCGGUAGGCCUAACACAUGCAAGUCGAACGGCAGCACAGGAGAGCUUGCUCUCUGGGUGGCGAGUGGCGGACGGGUGAGGAAUACAUCGGAAUCUACUCUGUCGUGGGGGGUAACGUAGGGAAACUUACGCUAAUACCGCAUACGACCUACGGGUGAAAGCAGGGGACCUUCGGGCCUUGCGCGAUUGAAUGAGCCGAUGUCGGAUUAGCUAGUUGGCGGGGUAAAGGCCUACCAAGGCGACGAUCCGUAGCUGGUCUGAGAGGAUGAUCAGCCACACUGGAACUGAGACACGGUCCAGACUCCUACGGGAGGCAGCAGUGGGGAAUAUUGGACAAUGGGCGCAAGCCUGAUCCAGCCAUACCGCGUGGGUGAAGAAGGCCUUCGGGUUGUAAAGCCCUUUUGUUGGGAAAGAAAUCCAGCUGGCUAAUACCCGGUUGGGAUGACGGUACCCAAAGAAUAAGCACCGGCUAACUUCGUGCCAGCAGCCGCAGUAA
Molecule: ribosomal RNA, 506 nt
Filed under: uncultured bacterium
Lineage: Bacteria
Description: partial 16S ribosomal RNA
Rfam family: Bacterial small subunit ribosomal RNA
Source: RNAcentral